GAGUAGCAGCAAUGGACCUGCCUUUUUUGGUUGAAACUCCUACAACUCCCCCCACCUAAGUUGAUAAUUUGCACUGGUUGUAAGUCGAAUUUGCACUUAGUUCCUGGGGCAGUGCUGAGUGGAGCAAGCAAGGGUGGGGCCCAUGCCAGAGCCUCCCACCGCUUUCCGCACAGAACCUGGGAGUGGGAAGGCUUCGGGACGGGAGGUUGCCCGGGAUGUGGAAACACUCCCGGGAAGAUGCGUCGUUGCCUCGGUAACCACGUCGCAGUUGCCACAGAUGGCUGGUGAGGUCUUGGGCUCAUAGUCGGUUCAACUCCAGGCUCCUGGGGAGUGUCUGGGCUUCGGCGACUAGGCCUAACCUCCUUUAUCUUCGGGUCUGAAACUCUCUGCCUCUUUUACAGAGAGGCAGCGUUCCAGGGACUCCGCUCCUGCCACCCGUUCAACAACCCUCUACACCUGGACCCGACCUCCUCGCUUUGGAGGAAGAAUAUAAGAUCUUCAGUGUAUUCCAGUUAUUUUCUGCUUUUAGGCGUUUAAAUGCAGAAUUGCAGGCAAAAAAAGCUGACGUGGUUCGACAAGCUAAGGAAAUAAUACAGGAAACCAUUCAGAAGUGGGAAGCCUCUGAACGAGCUGUAUACUGUGUAGCCAUGAGCUUCUGAUUUCUCCAGGCAGAAUGCUGGCCCUCAGGGCCUCUUUCUGCUUUCCCUUGUUCAGACCACUGAGGACUACCACUGUCCUGUCUGAUUUCUCCUGUUUUGCCCUAAUUCCUGUGUUAGGAUGACACCACGGCACAGAGCCACCUCUCACCUGACCCAUGAUGAGAUGCAAACACAUGAGGAAGAAGAUUUUUGAGCCACUGAAAUUUGGAGGUUGUUCGUCACCAUCGUUUAACCUAGCCCUCACUGACUGAUGCAGAGCUGAAGAAUGAGUCAGAACUGGAUCUGGGAUGUGAAGGGCAUUCCUCCAGGCUAAGUAAAAUUCAAGUCUUGUUGCAAAGAUAACAGGGAGCACGAUGUGUUAUUGGGGUGAGUGUGGGAUAAAUAGGGUACAUCAAGUGAGAAUAAUGAGAAAUUCAACUUUAAAAGACAGUGCUAAUUUGGACGGUGGAGAGAUUCCAAUGUCCUACUUAGCAUUUGAAAUUGUGAUGGCUGAACAAACUCAUUAAGAACCCCAAACGAAAGCUUGGGAUAAAUAUCCGAGGGUGUCUCAUAUGCCAUUUUUUUAUCCUAGAAUGGGCAGAGUCCUUCACCCCAUUCUAGGGAGACUUCCAGAAGAAAAAAGACCUGUAUUUCUCCAACAACCCACAUUGAGAGACUUUCCUGCACUUUUGACCUGUGGCUAACACUCCUCACCUUUCAUUCUGUCCUCAGUGUUUUGGGGAAACACCUUUAACUCUCUAUGACUUACAGGUUAUUAAGUGGUGCUUAUAAUUCCCCCAAGAGAUAGAAAAGACUAAUGAUAAGGAAGUCUGAGCUCAUAGCAGCAAGGGGGCAUGUGUGCUUAGCAGCCACGUGGCCCAUCUGCUAGGAGAUUACAACAUACGACGUUCCACAACAUUGCUUAACACAAGGGGACACUCUCCUGACUCAGAGGGAUAAUUGCUCAACUACUGCUUUUUCUGCCCUCUUGGACUCCUAAAAUGAAAAGAACCCUGGGUGAUAAAGUGAGUCAAAGGGGUGCCAACCGUAUCACAGCAAAAUAAAGAUCCCUAAAAAAAUCCCUGGCCUAAGAUGACAGCCUUAGCUGGAUAAGUCUGAAUGUGCUGACAGUGGACACGGGAGAGUGAAGGUGGUCAAAAUGUCCACAUUAAAGAACUUCCGUGCAGACUGCAAGAAAAGAGAGAGGAAUGGAGAUGGCAGCCCGAGUCCCUACUCUAAGGCUGGUCGCCUCGCUGGGAGCUCAGACACGCCCAUACCUCUCCGCGCCCAGAGACUACAUCACCACUCCACACCCAAGCUCUACAUGCAGCACCUAGGCUGACGCUGAAAAACCCUGCCAAAAUUUAAAAGAAGCCCCGCCAAAACCCGCCCAAUAGCAGUUUGUUCCAUCCACGUCCCGCUUCCCCUGGGCAGCUCGCUCACCAGAAAUCCUGCCUACCUACCAAUGGCGGCUGGCCCCUUUCACGUCCUGUUCCCUCAUAGCCAAUCAGGACACCCUCACUCGCUAUAAAACCCCACACCUCGGGAAGUCGAGCACGACUUUCCUGGCCCCUUUCCCCGGGACCAUGGAACCUCGUCUCGGAAUUGAAUAAAUUGGCAUUUAAUUUUCUUAUGCUAGUCUCAGUUUCCUCAUUCUAAACUCGGCAAUAACCCUUACACCUACCAUAAAA
Callithrix jacchus (white-tufted-ear marmoset) is the source of this 2329-nucleotide long non-coding RNA. RefSeq lists it as uncharacterized. Lineage: Eukaryota; Metazoa; Chordata; Mammalia; Primates; Cebidae. The record is from RefSeq and is a predicted model, not a curated record.